ACAUGUUACAAGUUAACUGGACCUUCACACCAAAAAUUUUGCCUCUAUAGUGACUUGAUCUUUAGGAAUGAAAAUUAAAAAGAACCCAAAAAACACCAAGAAACAGAGGAUUAACGGAAAAAAUGGCAGGAUCAGUGACGCCCUCAGUUUUCUCCAUCAAUUUAGCCAGAAAAGUUGCUUCAACCAGAUGUGAAUCAUGUCAAACUAAGUUAAUACCCUCGUUUCAGAAGAUCCCGGGUUCAUUUUUCUCAAGGAUUAAUCCUCAGCUUAGCAGGAUUAGCUCAAAAAGAUUGAAUGCAGGUUUAUCAGAAAUAGAGCCUGACCUGAAUGAAGAUUUUGUGGACCGCUGGAGAACGAACGGAAUUGAAGAGGAUGACUUUAAGUUUGGAUAUUAUGAUGAUCACCAUACUUACUAUGAAGGUGACGAUAAAGGAACAUUUUGGGGAUCGAUUGCAGAAGGUUAUGCAGCAAUGGGACCUCCUACAGGAUUCCAAGGUCUUAUUUCUUGGCUAUUCCUGCCAGCAAUUGCUGCUGGCAUGUACUUCAAUGUACCGGGAGAGUACUUGUAUAUUGGAGCAGUUGUUUUUGCUGCAGUAUUUUGCAUUAUUGAGAUGGGUAAGCCAAGUGAACCACACAACUUUGAGCCUCAAAUAUACAACAUGGAGAGAGGUGCUCGUGAUAAGCUAAUAAAUGAUUACAAUACGAUGGAUAUAUGGGAUUUCAAUGAAAAGUAUGGGGACCUUUGGGAUUUCACUGUGACGAAGGAUGACAUAAUGAAGAGAUAAAUUUGAUCAGAAGCAAGAAAUUAAUGAUGCAGAGGUUGAUACAGACUUUAUUCUAUUAUGCAGGAAUGGAUAGGAAACCUUAGCUCUGAAGCGUUAGCAAACAGGAAAUGCUCUGAAGAAUUGAUUACAGAAAUUUCAGAAAGAAAGAAGGACAGAGAACUUUACUAUAAGAUAGUAUAUAAUAGCUCUUCCAUGAUUCCAUCAUUGAGUUUUAAUGUUCCCCACAAUACACGUAAAUGCUGCAAUAAUAGCAGAAUGGUAUCAAAAAUUCUUUUUCCAUUUAAUGGUUCUGCAGAAAUGCAUCAUUCCCUGCAGUGGAAAUGCAUGCCAAGAAUAUCCUUUUGGCAGGUUUCUAGAUAUCUAGCAUUCUCACGGAGGAGGGGCUGGAACGGUUGUCUCUACAACCGUUUCGGAAGGUUCACGGCCAUGAUUAGAUCAAAAAAAUUUGUGCGGCUCAGGUCACUCCUUGUAAUUCGAUUUUUAUGUCGUGUGGGACUCACAAAAAUAUUGUUCUAGUGUUACUCAUUAUUGUUCUAUUGUUACACCUUGUA
RNA transcript from Coffea eugenioides, 1336 nucleotides. It is a transcript of the gene named photosynthetic NDH subunit of subcomplex B 5, chloroplastic, with no coding region annotated. The record is from RefSeq and is a predicted model, not a curated record. The transcript is spliced from 6 exons. NCBI's taxonomy places the organism in Eukaryota, Viridiplantae, Streptophyta, Magnoliopsida, Gentianales, Rubiaceae.